This 305-nucleotide ribosomal RNA is filed under the name uncultured bacterium. RNAcentral's name for it is "partial 16S ribosomal RNA". It matches the Rfam family "Bacterial small subunit ribosomal RNA", at positions 505 to 807 of the family's 1533-position model. The record is from RNAcentral.
ACAGCAGCAGCCGCGGUAAUACAGAGGGUGCAAGCGUUAAUCGGAAUUACUGGGCGUAAAGCGCGCGUAGGUGGUUCGCCAAGUUGGAUGUGAAAUCCCCGGGCUCAACCUGGGAACUGCAUCCAAAACUGGCGAGCUAGAGUAUGGUAGAGGGUGGUGGAAUUUCCUGUGUAGCGGUGAAAUGCGUAGAUAUAGGAAGGAACAUCAGUGGCGAAGGCGACCACCUGGACUGAUACUGACACUGAGGUGCGAAAGCGUGGGGAGCAAACAGGAUUAGAUACCCCCGUAGUCCCUGUCUCUUAUAC